This 251-nucleotide ribosomal RNA is filed under the name Escherichia coli. RNAcentral describes it as "partial 23S ribosomal RNA". It matches the Rfam family "Bacterial large subunit ribosomal RNA", at positions 2427 to 2677 of the family's 2925-position model. Lineage: Bacteria; Pseudomonadati; Pseudomonadota; Gammaproteobacteria; Enterobacterales; Enterobacteriaceae. The record is from RNAcentral.
UUCUGAAUGGAAGGGCCAUCGCUGAACGGAUAAAAGGUGCUCAGGGGGUAACAGGCUGAUACCGACCAAGAGUUCAUAUCGACGGCGGUGUUUGGCACCUCGAUGUCGGCUCAUCACAUCCUGGGGCUGAAGUAGGUCCCAAGGGUAUGGCUGUUCGCCAUUUAAAGUGGUACGCGAGCUGGGUUUAGAACGUCGUGAGACAGUUGGGUCCCUAUCUGCCGUGGGCGCUGGAGAACGGAGGGGGGCUGCUC